CUGCAGUGAUGACUUUCUUAGGACACCUUUGGAUUAAUCAUGAAAAUAAAAGUGAUUUCUGAGCAGC
Small nucleolar RNA from Chelonoidis abingdonii (Abingdon island giant tortoise), 67 nucleotides. Its record names the gene SNORD58. It matches the Rfam family "Small nucleolar RNA SNORD58". From Rfam's summary of the family: snoRNA U58 is found in introns 1, 3 and 6 of the ribosomal protein RPL17 gene in humans. U58 is a member of the C/D class of snoRNA which contain C (UGAUGA) and D (CUGA) box motifs. The record is from Ensembl. Lineage: Eukaryota; Metazoa; Chordata; Testudines; Testudinidae.